CUGAAACUCUCUAGCCUGAAGCUAGACGCUGCUGCUGCUGAGCUCUCUGCUGAACCCACUGUCUCUGGACCCAAUUGGUUCCCCCUCUCCAGUGAUCUGUCUGAACCUCAUCAAGAUUCUCAGUGAUUGCUGUCCCGGACCUGUACCAGAACCAGCUCUUGUUAUUCUGUGUGCUCAUCCUUUAAUAAACUGUUAAACUUUUA
Cyprinodon tularosa is the source of this 203-nucleotide long non-coding RNA. RefSeq lists it as uncharacterized. Lineage: Eukaryota; Metazoa; Chordata; Actinopteri; Cyprinodontiformes; Cyprinodontidae. The transcript has 2 exons. The record is from RefSeq and is a predicted model, not a curated record.